Nerophis ophidion (straightnose pipefish) is the source of this 7187-nucleotide RNA transcript. It is a transcript of the gene named microtubule cross-linking factor 1, with no coding region annotated. Lineage: Eukaryota; Metazoa; Chordata; Actinopteri; Syngnathiformes; Syngnathidae. The record is from RefSeq and is a predicted model, not a curated record. The transcript is spliced from 20 exons.
UGUGAUACUAGCUUUUGUAUUGAUGUCAUUGUGAUGUGCAUCUUUAUAUAACUACAAAGUAUGAAUUAAUUUGUAAAGGCAGGUGUAAACUAAAAGUAGAUCUAUGUUACCGGUGAAGCUGGUAGAGAGACAGUUGGUGUACGUCACGUGAUCUGCGCGUACCCGACAGCGCGCGCGCCCUUUCGCAUGUGUGUCAAACUGCGCAUGCGCCUCGCAGCCAAUCACGGGCGUCACACCGCAGCUUUUGCGGAUCUGACAAGUCUGCGGCAGCGCUAGCAGACUUGGAGGCAGAGGGAUGGACUCCCGGUACCGAGAGGGACACGGAGGCCUCGGCGGCCAGCAUGUCUCCUAAUCCAGUCUGACCGCAGCCCUCCUCCCUCCCGAGGACAGCACCACGACACCCCGCUGAGUGGACGCACACACCGGACUGUCGUUCACAGGAUGCCCAUCGAGGACCGGGCCAGGAAGACGCUCCGGUGCCGUUUUCCACCCCCCCUGCUGGUGUCAGCGUAGGAUGGAGAGCUCCAACGACUCUGACACCAGAGCCAGCCAGCAGCACCAGCCGGAGAAGAAGAGACCGAACCGGGUUUCCUCCCCGGCCAGACCGUUCCUGAAGGACGUCCACGCCUGCUCCGCCAAGCCGCCAACUAUCGGACCCAAAUCCUCCAAACUCGGCAAGCAGCUGCAAGCUCCGAGCCGCGGCUCCAGACGUAACAUCACCCCGGGGAAAGAGAAGCCCGCCGCGGCCAGGAGCUGCACCAAGGCCGGAGGGAGCAAGCCCAGCAGGCUGCCCCAGCAUGGAAGCCCGGCCGCCGGCAGCCCCGUCCUCGCUAAGGCCAAGAAGGGCAAGCUCUUCAGCAUCAGCCAUGGUUCUCCUGUCAGGGUACCGACCGGACUCCUGGUCGCCCAGACCGACAGCAGCUCCGACCUUUCGGACUGCCCGUCCGAGCUGGCACCGGCGGCCAGCAGCGACGCGGAGUCCGGGACCGGCUCCAGUGACCGGGAUCCCCUGGGAGUGGACCUCCCGGCGAUGCAGGCUGCAGCCGCGGUCAGCACCGGCGAGCCUCAUCCGGUUCCCAAGGGGUCAGCGUGCCUGGUCCAGUCCGGUCCUCGGGUCACUGUCGAGAAACCCAAAACCACGACGAGUCCACAAGGAGGCAAGUGCGGCACCGAGGACGACCUGCUGAGGGAGAUUGAGGACUUGAGAUCUGAAAAUGAUUAUUUGAAGGACGAGGUGGAGGAGCUGCACGCCGAGAUGGAGGAGCUGCGCGACACCUUCAUGGACGAGGAGGUCUACCAGCUGCAGGAACUGCGGCGCGAGCUGGACCGCUCCAACAAGAACUGUCGCAUCCUCCAGUACCGACUGAGGAAGGCGGAGCAGAAGAGUCUGCGGGUUGCACAGACGGGCCACGUGGAUGGAGAGCUCCUACGCAGCCUGGAACAGGACCUCAAGGUGGCCAAAGACGUCUCGGUGCGUCUCCACAACGAGUUGGAGAGCGUGGAGGACAAACGCAGUCGGGCCGAGGACGAGAACGAGCAGCUCCGCCAAAGGAUCAUCGAGGUGGAGAUCUCCAAGCAGGCGCUGCACAACGAGCUGGAGCGUGCCAAAGAGACUGCACCAAAGCGACGAGGGCUCUCCUUUAAGGACAAGAAAUCCACGAACCAGGAAGACAGUGCUGACCUCAGGUGUCAGCUCCAGUUCUCCAAAGAAGAAUCGAGCCUGAUGCGUAAAAAGAUGGCCAAGCUGGGCCGGGAGAAGGAUGAACUGGAGCAAGAGCUGCAGAAGUACAAGUCGGUUUACGGCGACGUGGACAGUCCGCUCCCUCUGGUCGAGUGCUCCAGCGGCGGCCCUCACUCCACGCGGGAGGCCGAGCUGCGACUGCGCCUCAAACUGGUGGAAGAAGAGGCCAACAUCCUGGGGAGGAAGAUCGUGGAGCUGGAGGUGGAGAACCGCAGCCUGCGUGCCGAGAACGAGGACAUCCGCUGCCAGUACGAGCGGGACUGCUUCGGCCGGGAGCCCUUCUCCAGCAUGCCUUCGUCGCCCUACGGCGGCGACGUGCUGGAGUCUGCCGGCGAGCUCCGACGCCACCUCCAGUUUGUGGAGGAGGAAGCAGAGCUGCUGCGUCGCUCCAUCGCUGAGAUCGAGGACCACAACAGGCAGCUCACCUCCGAGCUCAACCGCUUCAAGUUCGGGCCGAACAGCGGAUCAGCCGGCGAGGAUGGCAGUGAUGGAGGACUCUUCAAAACUGGCAAUGGCUCCAACGGAGGGAUGAUGAUGGAAGAGCUGAAAUCCGCCAGGAUGCAGAUCAACGAGCUGAGUGGAAAGGUGAUGAAGCUGCAGUAUGAGAACCGGGUCCUUCUGUCCAACGUCCAGCGCUGUGACCUGGCAGCACACCUGGUCCUGAGAACCGCCAGCCCUCGGGACAGCGACGUCGACAGCGACGCAGGACGUCGCGAAUCCGCCGAAGAAGAGGAAGCAGGACGCCUCCUUCUCCUCCAACCAAAGAGAGAAGGCCCCAUAGGAGGGGAGAGCGACUCUGAAGACCUCUUUGAGAAAACCACCACCAACACCACCUCAGGGUUUGGAAGUGUCCCACCUUCUGACGGCAUUGAGCUCAGUGCCACACAACUGGCCAACCGCCCCAGAGAAGAGCGGGAGUCCUUCGCGAACGUGAAGCGGGAAGCUGACAGACUUGGGAAGUCUGUGGACCGCCUGAUUACCGACACAGACAGUCUGAUCCUGGACGGCGAGCUUGUAGUGACGACGGGGGAAAGUCCGCACAGGGGAGCUGCGGACCCCCAAGUCCUGGACACAAUUAACACGCGGAUGAAGGCUUUCCGCACCGAGCUGCACAUCUUUGUGGAGAAGCUGGAACACGUCGGGGAAGGACUUCGGGAAAGGACGGAUGACCUCUCCCCGAUGCCGAACCUGACCGAGUCCAGCAGCUUCCUGUCCACCGUCACCUCCAUGUCUCGAGAUUCUCCCAUCGGCACUUUCGGGAGAGACCUGGUGACGGACUUCCAGUCCGGUCAGAGGGAUGAGCUGGAGUGGCGUGUAGGACAGAAGCGAGGCGUGGAGCCCCACAGCCAGGGUGGGAGCAGGGGAGCAGCAAGACUCAAUAGGUACCAGGGGCCCCUGGUUUUAAGAGCAGAGCUACGGGAGGCGCCCACUGCUGACGGGCACCUGCUGCGUGCCGAUCACGAAAGAAGGAUGAGAGUCGCGUUGGACGAACGGGAAACUGUCGCCUCGCCGCCGCAGGAGGAAAAGCGUCCACAUCCCGAGACGCAGCAUGGAGGUCUGCAGCUGCCAGGCCUCCAGAGUCCCGAGUCUCUGUGGGCUCAGGAGAGGGCGGCGCUGCAACAAGAGGUCCGUCUCUUCAGACGCAACACGGCCAUCUUCUACAUGAAGCUCAGGUCCAUCCUGGCCCAAUGGAGGCUCGGACGCAAAGUCCAGGCACUCGACGAGGGCGUGCAGCCACAGUUGGGGGAUAUCUCCGAGCUGAGAGGGGUGAUGCAGCAUGGCGAUGGCGACGGGUCCAGACCGGGGCCAGCGUCACCCGAUGCACACCUGCCGCACCAACAACAGUUCGAUGAUAACCGGCGAAUGCUUCAGGCGCUGCGCACCCUCCUGGAACAGUUCCGGGAGGAGCUGCGUGAGGAGGAGGCGCAGCGCUGCCAACUGCAGCAGGCCUAUGCCAACGACAAAGCCGCCUGGGAGGUCAAAUGGGCCGAGAUGAAGUGCCAGUUAGCGCAGGCGGAGGACGAGGGGCGAGGCCAAGUGAGAGGCCAGACUCAGGGAGGCGAAGGAGAAUUGGGCCGAGAACCCGAUUGGGCCCUGAAACAGGAGCGAGAGGAGCACCGGAGCCUGCUGGCUGAAAGUCACAACAUCUCGCUGGAACUCCGCUGGAGGCUGCAGCACGGCGAGAAGAGGUGGAGCCGCGAGAGGGCCGAGCUCCUCGAGUACUUGGAGCACCAGAGGCCGGAGUGGGACGGCGGAACUCGGGAGCUCCACCAAAAGAUUGAGAAGCUGCUGGGAGAUCGAAACAGCCGGCGAGGCGAGGGCACCGAGGAGUCAGACGCUAGCUCGGUCCACAGAGGACAAGACACCCCCUGUAGUGGUCUCCGCUCGUCCGCCCCUGUGUUGAUCCCGCCCGUCUGCUCCCUCUCCGACUCUGACGCCAAGCUGGAGGAGCAAAGAGGGGGCGCCAUGCGGCUGAGAAGCCCAUCCAAAAUCCCCUUCAUGGACGCUCUAACUCGAGAUCCUCUCAGCGGCCUGGAGGCCCCUCCGCCCUCCAGACUGGAGAAUGAGAAGAGGUUCCCCUGCAUUAAGGAGUCCCUGAAUGUGCUUUCAGAGAGAGAAGGCCCUCAUGAGUCUUACCCUGACGAGGAGAUGAGCGGCGGCAGUUUGCUGAGAGCCAAGUCAGUGUGCUCCAUGAGCGACUUCCAGCGUCUGAUGGACAGUUCUCCAUUUCUGCCUGACAAGAUGCGUCACGAUGAGCGAGGCCAAGACGACGUCACCCCGCCCCUCUCCCCGGAUGACCUCAAGUACAUCGAGGAGUUCAACAACAAGGGCUGGGACUUCCCCAUAUCCACCGCCAGCCCGGGUCCCGCUCAGGAGGCAUGGAGUGGCAAGACCCCGGAAACAAGAGCAGGGGAGCCAGUUAUGGAUUCCCUUCAACCGGACUCCUGGUUCCUUACCACCAGCGCCAGCUUGCUGACCACUACCAGCACCCUGACCAGCCCUGAGGCUUUUCACAAGUCUCCAAUGAGUAGCACCGGGGCCGGCGUGGCGGUGGACAAUUACGAGUUCCACAUCCGCCACAGCCCAACCAGACCUGGACCAGAUGAGCAGCCCAUAGAGGACUCUGACAUGCUCUUUGCAAAGGGGGGUAAAGGGAGAGAUGGGAUUGAGGCACCCAGUGGUCCAGAUGAGGUGUUCCCCAAUGGGCGGUGGCCAUGUGGCCUUCUGGAGGCCGGCGGCUUAAGGACUUCUCCGAGCCAGUCUCCUAUUUGCUCCACAGUGGGCUAUGCGUCCUCACUGGAGCUGCAGAUGGCUCGGAAUAUGAGUGAUGACAUGAAGGAGGUGGCCAUUUCUGUGAGAAACGCGAUCCGUCCUCUACCGGGGCCCACGGUCCGGGACACGGCCUGCCAGACCAAUGGUUUUACCACACGAGGCACUCAGACCACGCAGACUAUAAGCAUAGGUCUGCAGACUGACCUCCUGAGGAACCUGACCAGCAGCCCCCACCGCUGCCACACCCCAAAAGGGGGCAGCACUCCCAUCUCGUCGCCAUCACGGAACACGAGGAAGGUCCAGUACUCGCCGGUCAUCCAGAGCAAGUUUGAGCGGCCCUGCUGCUCGCCAAUGUACGGCUCACCCAAACUUCAGCGCAAGUUGUCCACAUCCAGCAAGGCGGAGCUACCCAACGCCAGCCGUGCCGCCACCCCUACCACCCCCCAGAAGGGCAACAGCGAGUCGGCGUGGGCCAGAUCCACGACCACACGGGACAGCCCGGUCCACACCACCAUCAACGACGGCCUCUCCAGCCUCUUCAACAUCAUCGACCACACCCCCGUUGUCUACGAUGCCAUUCAGAAGUUCAACAAGUCCCCCAGCCGCUCUCGCCCUACGCCGCCCCCCAACACAGAGCCCAGCACUGACCCCAGGAAUGAAUACACAAGGACCGCCAGGGGGCGCUCACCCAGCCCCGUACAGCUAAUAGUAGAAACGCAGGGUGACCGGAAUGUGGAGGUGGUGAGCAUUCGUCCAGACCUGUCGGCGCCCCCGGGGUACACGCUGGGCGAGAACGCGGCACGCAUCCUCAACAAGAAGCUGCAGGAGCAGAGCUUCCAAGACGAGAAGAGGAUGCAAGCCGGAGGCCCGGGAAGCAAGAUAGUCGACCUGGAUAGAGCCCAGCCGGGCUGCAUGGAGGUGCCGUCACCCCUUCCUCCUCGUUUUUACUGACUUUCCCGCUUUAUCUAUCCUCGUCAACCUCCCCGAUCCUCUUCCCUCCUUGCUCCAGAACCACACUGUCGUACUAACAACUCCAUGGGGACUCUAACUGUCCCCCGAGAUAUCAAAGAAGAGUUCAGUAGGAUAACAACACUUCAUCUGGAGCAAACCUUUUUGUCAAAACUGGACACACACACUCCCAAACUCCUGGGAGGCACAAAAAUCAGCCCGAUGCUGGAUUCACUUGGCCAGCUAUAUGUUGAAGGCAGAAGAGAUCUCAUCAUACGUUGCCUAAUGGAGUUCCUUGGAGAGUCGGGAGAGGAGCUAAUCGAAGACUGCCAGACAUGCAACUGCCAAGACAAGGUUUUCGCCGCUUACUGCUGGAUCCUUCUCCCAGGAAUGCAGGACUACUCUGGACAAGGUGUGCAGGACACCCCUGAGUUCAUGUGGACCAUCUCUGAGUGAAAACCGACUGUAUAUUUGCAGGAAAUGGAAAGAAUGAGAGAAAUGUUCACCGGAACAAUCCGUCUGAAUGAGUCAUUGGUCCUACCUGAGUCUUUUGUGGUCACCGUGGGGAAGUCAUGUGACACGGAAGUCAGUCUGAGGGAUGCUCGGGACAGCAGGGCUUCACUUUGGCCCAGGCGUCAAUGCAGCUGCAUCCAGACCACAGCACAGGGUGUGUAGGUUAGUGUUCAACAUUUAGAUGAAUGACAUCAUCAACCUUCAUGUUCACAUCCUUGCUCCAAUUCGCAGAGGCCCACCCCAGUUGGGUGGGUCCAGACUGCCCAUGCACGGCCAAAAAAACGACCACACCUCCCAUGUGUUGUUUGUUAAGGUUCGGUGCUGAACAAGCGAUGACAUCUGUUGAAAAAGCAUGUCUGCCAGCUAAUGUCAGGGUCAUGUGAUGCAAUCAUUGCUGAUACGCCAUAUGUGGAUUGUCUACCCGGAGGAACAUUUCCUGUUCUGAGAUGACACACGAGCACGCUCAAACUGAAAGUAACCCUUUCCAGUCCAGCAGUGUGUACUUUGGAUGCAUUAUUGUACAAUUUUACCCUGUUGUAGAUGUGGGAUUAUCUUAUAUACUGGCAUGCAAAAGUGUUGUCGUUCAUACAAUAACACAAUGACAAGACAUGAGGACACCUAAUGUUCACUUCUAUUGUGUUUUACUUUGGAAACCUUCUUGGAAUGUGGUAACUAACAAGGGACUUGUGAUGAUUUUGAUCUACAUUUAAAA